GGGGGCGACCUGGCUUCGACGUGGGUUGCAAAACCAAAGGUGCAUGCCGAGAUUGAGACUUCUCGUUAAUCAGACUCAAAUAAACACAAAUGCAAACGAUGAAAUCUACGCUGAAGACGAAAGUGGUGCUAUCGCUGCCUAAUUGGACGAUACCCGCUUCGUAAGAAGCAACGUGCGCUGCCAAAAAACCAGCGCCCCGCUUGACCGAGCUUGUCUAUCGGUAUCGAAUCGGCGGUCAUAAAAGAUAGGCUAGUGGCUUGAUUUGUCCUGGAUUAAGCUGCGAAACUCAAGGACUUGCCAGAGAGAAUCCUGCCCGUCGGAGUCUUGAAGGUGAAAUUCAAAAGACACGGCUACGCAUGUAGAUCUAAUGGCAGAGUGCUUGCGGACGCGGGUUCAAUUCCCGCCGCCUCCACCA
This 415-nucleotide transfer-messenger RNA is filed under the name Legionellaceae. RNAcentral describes it as "GCA-2786165 sp018061965 Standard tmRNA". It matches the Rfam family "transfer-messenger RNA". Rfam says of the family: Bacterial tmRNA, also known as 10Sa RNA or SsrA, is named for its dual tRNA and mRNA-like properties. The record is from RNAcentral. Lineage: Bacteria; Pseudomonadati; Pseudomonadota; Gammaproteobacteria; Legionellales. RNAcentral also lists the same sequence under 1 other name.